GGCAUCAUAGCUCAGACGGUAGAGCAGAGGACUGAAAAUCCUUGUGUCGUUGGUUCGAUUCCAACUGUUGCCA
Molecule: transfer RNA, 73 nt
Filed under: Bacillus sp. M6-12
Lineage: Bacteria; Bacillati; Bacillota; Bacilli; Caryophanales; Bacillaceae
Description: tRNA-Phe
Rfam family: tRNA
About the family: Transfer RNA (tRNA) molecules are approximately 80 nucleotides in length. Their secondary structure includes four short double-helical elements and three loops (D, anti-codon, and T loops).
Source: RNAcentral